This 82-nucleotide transfer RNA is filed under the name Streptomyces sp. WMMB 714. RNAcentral's name for it is "tRNA_Leu_TAG". It matches the Rfam family "tRNA". From Rfam's summary of the family: Transfer RNA (tRNA) molecules are approximately 80 nucleotides in length. Lineage: Bacteria; Bacillati; Actinomycetota; Actinomycetes; Kitasatosporales; Streptomycetaceae. The record is from RNAcentral.
GCGCGAGUGCCGGAACUGGCAGACGGGUCGGUUUUAGGUACCGAUGCCCUAGGGCGUGAGGGUUCGAGUCCCUCCUCGCGCA